UUGAGCGAUUUAAUUCGGUAAAGGGCGGCGGACGGGUGAGUAACGCGUGGGUAACCUACCCUGUACACACGGAUAACAUACCGAAAGGUAUGCUAAUACGGGAUAACAUAUUUGGGAGGCAUCUCUUAAAUAUCAAAGGUGAGCCAGUACAGGAUGGACCCGCGUCUGAUUAGCUAGUUGGUAAGGUAACGGCUUACCAAGGCGACGAUCAGUAGCCGACCUGAGAGGGUGAUCGGCCACAUUGGAACUGAGACA
RNAcentral lists this ribosomal RNA (255 nucleotides) under Clostridioides sp. ZZV15-6388. RNAcentral describes it as "partial 16S ribosomal RNA". It matches the Rfam family "Bacterial small subunit ribosomal RNA", at positions 69 to 326 of the family's 1533-position model. Lineage: Bacteria; Bacillati; Bacillota; Clostridia; Peptostreptococcales; Peptostreptococcaceae. The record is from RNAcentral.